This 253-nucleotide ribosomal RNA is filed under the name uncultured bacterium. Its description in RNAcentral is "partial 16S ribosomal RNA". It matches the Rfam family "Bacterial small subunit ribosomal RNA", at positions 524 to 776 of the family's 1533-position model. The record is from RNAcentral.
GACGUAGGGCGCGAGCGUUGUCCGGAAUUACUGGGCGUAAAGGGCUCGUAGGCGGCCAACUAAGUCGGACGUGAAAUCCCCAGGCUCAACCUGGGAACUGCGUCCGAUACUGGAUGGCUUGAAUCCGGGAGAGGGAUGCAGAAUUCCAGGUGUAGCGGUGAAAUGCGUAGAUAUCUGGAGGAAUACCGGUGGCGAAGGCGGCAUCCUGGACCGGCAUUGACGCUGAGGAGCGAAAGCCAGGGGAGCAAACGGG